UUAGCUAGUAGGUGGGGUAACGGCUCACCUAGGCGACGAUCCCUAGCUGGUCUGAGAGGAUGACCAGCCACACUGGAACUGAGACACGGUCCAGACUCCUACGGGAGGCAGCAGUGGGGAAUAUUGCACAAUGGGCGCAAGCCUGAUGCAGCCAUGCCGCGUGUAUGAAGAAGGCCUUCGGGUCGUAAAGUACUUUCAGCGGGGAGGAAGGCGAUGUGGUAAUAACCGCGUCGAUGACGUACCCGCAGAAGAAGC
Molecule: ribosomal RNA, 255 nt
Filed under: uncultured bacterium
Lineage: Bacteria
Description: partial 16S ribosomal RNA
Rfam family: Bacterial small subunit ribosomal RNA
Source: RNAcentral